This 785-nucleotide ribosomal RNA is filed under the name uncultured Actinobacillus sp. Its description in RNAcentral is "bacterial SSU rRNA". It matches the Rfam family "Bacterial small subunit ribosomal RNA", at positions 99 to 882 of the family's 1533-position model. The record is from RNAcentral. Lineage: Bacteria; Pseudomonadati; Pseudomonadota; Gammaproteobacteria; Pasteurellales; Pasteurellaceae.
CGGACGGGUGAGUAAUGCUUGGGAAUCUGGCUUAUGGAGGGGGAUAACUACGGGAAACUGUAGCUAAUACCGCGUAAUAUCUUCGGAUUAAAGGGUGGGACUUUCGGGCCACCUGCCAUAAGAUGAGCCCAAGUGGGAUUAGGUAGUUGGUGGGGUAAAGGCCUACCAAGCCGACGAUCUCUAGCUGGUCUGAGAGGAUGACCAGCCACACUGGAACUGAGACACGGUCCAGACUCCUACGGGAGGCAGCAGUGGGGAAUAUUGCACAAUGGGGGGGACCCUGAUGCAGCCAUGCCGCGUGAAUGAAGAAGGCCUUCGGGUUGUAAAGUUCUUUCGGUGAUGAGGAAGGUGUUUGUUUUAAUAGAACAAGCAAUUGACGUUAGUCACAGAAGAAGCACCGGCUAACUCCGUGCCAGCAGCCGCGGUAAUACGGAGGGUGCGAGCGUUAAUCGGAAUGACUGGGCGUAAAGGGCACGCAGGCGGUGACUUAAGUGAGAUGUGAAAGCCCCGAGCUUAACUUGGGAAUUGCAUUUCAUACUGGGUCGCUAGAGUAUUUUAGGGAGGGGUAGAAUUCCACGUGUAGCGGUGAAAUGCGUAGAGAUGUGGAGGAAUACCGAAGGCGAAGGCAGCCCCUUGGGAAUAUACUGACGCUCAUGUGCGAAAGCGUGGGGAGCAAACAGGAUUAGAUACCCUGGUAGUCCACGCUGUAAACGCUGUCGAUUUGGGGAUUGGGCUUAGAGCUUGGUGCCCGUAGCUAACGUGAUAAAUCGACCGCCUGGGGAGUA